Molecule: ribosomal RNA, 305 nt
Filed under: uncultured bacterium
Lineage: Bacteria
Description: bacterial SSU rRNA
Rfam family: Bacterial small subunit ribosomal RNA
Source: RNAcentral
UGUCCUACGGGAGGCAGCAGUGGGGAAUAUUGCACAAUGGGGGAAACCCUGAUGCAGCGACGCCGCGUGAAGGAAGAAGUAUUUCGGUAUGUAAAGCUCUAUCAGCAGGGAAGAAAAUGACGGUACCUGACUAAGAAGCCCCGGCUAACUACGUGCCAGCAGCCGCGGUAAUACGUAGGGGGCAAGCGUUAUCCGGAUUUACUGGGUGUAAAGGGAGCGUAGACGGCAGCGCAAGUCUGAAGUGAAAUCCCAUGGCUUAACCAUGGAACUGCUUUGGAAACUGAGCAGCUAGAGUGCAGGAGAGG